RNAcentral lists this unclassified non-coding RNA (1051 nucleotides) under Zea mays. RNAcentral describes it as "misc RNA Zm00001eb056590". Lineage: Eukaryota; Viridiplantae; Streptophyta; Magnoliopsida; Poales; Poaceae. The record is from RNAcentral.
ACGAAGGAUGUACAUUUUUAAAAAAAAACACGUUGCCAAUUCAAAUCACAAAUGAAAAAAAAGACAAAAACUGGAUCGUUUAUUAUGACAUACUGAUCGCUCCGAUUCUUUUCUUUUCUUUUCUAAUGGGCGAUCAGCUGAUCACUCUCAGCAGAGAAAAUGCUCAGCUCAAGAAGAAGCGCCGCCGCCGUGGCGCCGGGGCGGGACCACUGCCCCCGCAGGACGGCAUGCCCUCGCGCGAACGAGAACGCGCCAGUGCCGCCCACCACUCGCAGCACCUCCUCCUCCUCCCCGCCGUGCCGGCGUCUCGCGGCCCGGCGCGCCUUCUCGUUGCUCGCCUCGACGCAGAGACUGCCGGACAGCCCGGCGCUGCCGUCGAACGUCAGGUGCACCGUGUCGAACACCGACGCCACGGCACUACCCCGCUCGCCCGCCGGGAGCAGAAACCCAGAGGCCGCGCCGACGGCCCUCGACGCGCUCUCCGGCCCCGCCGUCAUCCGGUGGUGGAACACCAGCGCGCUCGCUUCUUGCCGGCGCCCUUGGGCUUGCUCCUGCCGCACGGCUGUCGAUGCCGUGGGAUGGAUGUACACCGUGAAGGUGCGCUGGCCUGCAGCGCCCUUGCGGCUGCCCGACCGGUGCGGCAGCGGGGAGACGGUGGCAAGGAGGACGACGGCGAGGACGGCGGCGGCGACGACGACGCAGAAGAUGAUCCUGGCGAGCAUCGUCGUAUCAUUUCUUAUCUGUGGUGGCCAAAUGCGGGAGCGGGCAGCUGCCCGGUGAGCAUUUCAGGAAUCGCAGGUGCGACGGAGCGGUGAUCGGUUGUGAUUUCUUGGAUUUUGUUCAGACGACGAUGGGUUCGGAGAAAGAUGCUCGGAGAGCAGUUGAAUCAGCGCUACUUAAUCCAUUGCGGUGCCUUGUGGUCAAACAUAAACUAAACCAUUGACGAAAAGGGUAAUGCGAAUAAACAAAGCAGAUGAUUUGGGUUUAGUGUGGUUGGAACGUAAGCCAUGGGCGCCUAAAUGGUUCCACUUUGCUAGUUUCUGUUUUCCAC